Molecule: ribosomal RNA, 483 nt
Filed under: uncultured bacterium
Lineage: Bacteria
Description: partial 16S ribosomal RNA
Rfam family: Bacterial small subunit ribosomal RNA
Source: RNAcentral
GACGAACGCUGGCGGCGUGCUUAACACAUGCAAGUCGAACGCUGAAGCUCAGCUUUUGUUGGGUGGAUGAGUGGCGAACGGGUGAGUAACAUGUGAGUAACCUGCCCCCUUCUUUGGGAUAACGCCCGGAAACGGGUGCUAAUACUGGAUAUUCACUGGUCUUCGCAUGGGGGUUGGUGGAAAGGGUUUUUCUGGUGGGGGAUGGGCUCGCGGCCUAUCAGCUUGUUGGUGGGGUGAUGGCCUACCAAGGCUUUGACGGGUAGCCGGCCGGAGAGGGUGACCGGUCACAUUGGGACUGAGAUACGGCCCAGACUCCUACGGGAGGCAGCAGUGGGGAAUAUUGCACAAUGGGCGCAAGCCUGAUGCAGCGACGCCGCGUGAGGGAUGGAGGCCUUCGGGUUGUGAACCUCUUUCGCUCAUGGUCAAGCCGCAACAAUGGUUGUGGUGAGGGUAGUGGGUAAAGAAGCGCCGGCUAACUACGUG